CAUUCGUAUUUACAUAGUGUUAAAGAACUAUUAAAAUUAAAGAAACUGUAGUAUUAAAAUCUGCAAAAAGAGCCAAAAAUAUUCAAAAGUAUGAUCAUAAUCAACCUACGUUAUUAGAGUUUACUUCAGUCAAAAAGAUACAAGUCAAGAUGAACUUGAUAUUUUAGUCCAAAAUGUUAUUGUGAAUGCAUGUUUACCCUUUAGCAUAGUUGAUCAUUUUGAUUUCAAAACUCUAAUUCAAUUUCAAAAAGGCUUUCCUGGGAGAACACUUAUGUCUUGUCCAACUUUAAUGAAAAGAUUAAAUACCCAGUUCCAACACCAUUUAAUCCGUCUUAAAGAAGAAAUGACUAAUAUUGAAUAUCUUACUACUACUGCUGACUGCUGGUCAAUAUUUAAAAGAUCAUACAUAGGCAUUACUUGUCAUUGGAUACUUGAUGAAGAUUUAACUAGAAAAUYAUGUGUAUUGACAGUAAAACGAUUGGAGGGGAAACAUACAUUUGAUGUAUUAGCAAAAUAAA
Molecule: long non-coding RNA, 518 nt
Organism: Diuraphis noxia (Russian wheat aphid)
Lineage: Eukaryota; Metazoa; Arthropoda; Insecta; Hemiptera; Aphididae
Source: RefSeq, a predicted model, not a curated record